AAUCAACGCUGGCGGCGUGCCUCAGACAUGCAAGUCGAACGCGAAAGUUCCCUUCGGGGGAUAAGUAGAGUGGCGUCCGGGUGAGUAACACGUAGGUAAUCUACCUUUGGGUGGGGAACAACAACCGGAAACGGUUGCUAAUACCGCAUAAUGCAGCGGCACCACAUGGUGACAGUUGUUAAAGCGGGGGGAUCGCAAGACCUCGCGCCUAAAGAGGAGCCUGCGGCGGAUUAGCUAGUUGGAGGGUAACGGCCUACCAAGGCAACGAUCCGUAGCCGGCCUGAGAGGGCGGUCGGCCACACUGACACUGAAAUACGGGUCAGACUCCUACGGGAGGCAGCAGUCGGGAAUUUUGGGCAAUGGGCGAAAGCCUGACCCAGCAACGCCGCGUGAAGGAUGAAAUCCCUCGGGAUGUAAACUUCGCAAGAACAGGAAGAAUAAGUAGGGACAAUACCCCCUAUGAUGACGGUACUGUUUGUAAGCUCCGGCUAACUCCGUGCCAGCAGCCGCCGUAA
This 515-nucleotide ribosomal RNA is filed under the name uncultured bacterium. Its description in RNAcentral is "bacterial SSU rRNA". It matches the Rfam family "Bacterial small subunit ribosomal RNA", at positions 32 to 523 of the family's 1533-position model. The record is from RNAcentral.